GGAACUGAAACAUCUAAGUACCCCGAGGAAAAGAAAUCAACCGAGAUUCCCCCAGUAGCGGCGAGCGAACGGGGAGCAGCCCAGAGCCUGAAUCAGUGUGUGUAUUAGUGGAAGCGUCUGGAAAGGCGCGCGAUACAGGGUGACAGCCCCGUACACAAAAAUGCACAUGCUGUGAGCUCGAUGAGUAGGGCGGGACACGUGGUAUCCUGUCUGAAUAUGGGGGGACCAUCCUCCAAGGCUAAAUACUCCUGACUGACCGAUAGUGAACCAGUACCGUGAGGGAAAGGCGAAAAGAACCCCGGCGAGGGGAGUGAAAAAGAACCUGAAACCGUGUACGUACAAGCAGUGGGAGCCUCUUUAUGGGGUGACUGCGUACCUUUUGUAUAAUGGGUCAGCGACUUAUAUUCUGUAGCAAGGUUAACCGAAUAGGGGAGCCGAAGGGAAACCGAGUCUUAACUGGGCGUUAAGUUGCAGGGUAUAGACCCGAAACCCGGUGAUCUAGCCAUGGGCAGGUUGAAGGUUGGGUAACACUAACUGGAGGACCGAACCGACUAAUGUUGAAAAAUUAGCGGAUGACUUGUGGCUGGGGGUGAAAGGCCAAUCAAACCGGGAGAUAGCUGGUUCUCCCCGAAAGCUAUUUAGGUAGCGCCUCGUGAAUUCAUCUCCGGGGGUAGAGCACUGUUUCGGCAAGGGGGUCAUCCCGACUUACCAACCCGAUGCAAACUGCGAAUACCGGAGAAUGUUAUCACGGGAGACACACGGCGGGUGCUAACGUCCGUCGUGAAGAGGGAAACAACCCAGACCGCCAGCUAAGGUCCCAAAGUCAUGGUUAAGUGGGAAACGAUGUGGGAAGGCCCAGACAGCCAGGAUGUUGGCUUAGAAGCAGCCAUCAUUUAAAGAAAGCGUAAUAGCUCACUGGUCGAGUCGGCCUGCGCGGAAGAUGUAACGGGGCUAAACCAUGCACCGAAGCUGCGGCAGCGACGCUUAUGCGUUGUUGGGUAGGGGAGCGUUCUGUAAGCCUGCGAAGGUGUGCUGUGAGGCAUGCUGGAGGUAUCAGAAGUGCGAAUGCUGACAUAAGUAACGAUAAAGCGGGUGAAAAGCCCGCUCGCCGGAAGACCAAGGGUUCCUGUCCAACGUUAAUCGGGGCAGGGUGAGUCGACCCCUAAGGCGAGGCCGAAAGGCGUAGUCGAUGGGAAACAGGUUAAUAUUCCUGUACUUGGUGUUACUGCGAAGGGGGGACGGAGAAGGCUAUGUUGGCCGGGCGACGGUUGUCCCGGUUUAAGCGUGUAGGCUGGUUUUCCAGGCAAAUCCGGAAAAUCAAGGCUGAGGCGUGAUGACGAGGCACUACGGUGCUGAAGCAACAAAUGCCCUGCUUCCAGGAAAAGCCUCUAAGCAUCAGGUAACAUCAAAUCGUACCCCAAACCGACACAGGUGGUCAGGUAGAGAAUACCAAGGCGCUUGAGAGAACUCGGGUGAAGGAACUAGGCAAAAUGGUGCCGUAACUUCGGGAGAAGGCACGCUGAUAUGUAGGUGAAGCGACUUGCUCGUGGAGCUGAAAUCAGUCGAAGAUACCAGCUGGCUGCAACUGUUUAUUAAAAACACAGCACUGUGCAAACACGAAAGUGGACGUAUACGGUGUGACGCCUGCCCGGUGCCGGAAGGUUAAUUGAUGGGGUUAGCGGUAACGCGAAGCUCUUGAUCGAAGCCCCGGUAAACGGCGGCCGUAACUAUAACGGUCCUAAGGUAGCGAAAUUCCUUGUCGGGUAAGUUCCGACCUGCACGAAUGGCGUAAUGAUGGCCAGGCUGUCUCCACCCGAGACUCAGUGAAAUUGAACUCGCUGUGAAGAUGCAGUGUACCCGCGGCAAGACGGAAAGACCCCGUGAACCUUUACUAUAGCUUGACACUGAACAUUGAGCCUUGAUGUGUAGGAUAGGUGGGAGGCUUUGAAGUGUGGACGCCAGUCUGCAUGGAGCCGGCCUUGAAAUACCACCCUUUAAUGUUUGAUGUUCUAACGUUGGCCCCUGAUCGGGGUUGCGGACAGUGUCUGGUGGGUAGUUUGACUGGGGCGGUCUCCUCCUAAAGAGUAACGGAGGAGCACGAAGGUUGGCUAAUCCUGGUCGGACAUCAGGAGGUUAGUGCAAUGGCAUAAGCCAGCUUGACUGCGAGCGUGACGGCGCGAGCAGGUGCGAAAGCAGGUCAUAGUGAUCCGGUGGUUCUGAAUGGAAGGGCCAUCGCUCAACGGAUAAAAGGUACUCCGGGGAUAACAGGCUGAUACCGCCCAAGAGUUCAUAUCGACGGCGGUGUUUGGCACCUCGAUGUCGGCUCAUCACAUCCUGGGGCUGAAGUAGGUCCCAAGGGUAUGGCUGUUCGCCAUUUAAAGUGGUACGCGAGCUGGGUUUAGAACGUCGUGAGACAGUUCGGUCCCUAUCUGCCGUGGGCGCUGGAGAACUGAGGGGGGCUGCUCCUAGUACGAGAGGACCGGAGUGGACGCAUCACUGGUGUUCGGGUUGUCAUGCCAAUGGCACUGCCCGGUAGCUAAAUGCGGAAGAGAUAAGUGCUGAAAGCAUCUAAGCACGAAACUUGCCCCGAGAUGAGUUCUCCCUGAGACUUUAAGUCUCCUGAAGGA
Molecule: ribosomal RNA, 2627 nt
Filed under: Escherichia coli
Lineage: Bacteria; Pseudomonadati; Pseudomonadota; Gammaproteobacteria; Enterobacterales; Enterobacteriaceae
Description: partial 23S ribosomal RNA
Rfam family: Bacterial large subunit ribosomal RNA
Source: RNAcentral